CUGAUGAGCCAUGCCGCGUGUAUGAAGAAGGCCUUCGGGUUGUAAAGUACUUUCAGCGGGGAGGGACCUGGUUAAUAACCACAGCAAUUGACGUUACCCGCAGAAAACGCCGGCUAACUCCGUGCCAGCAGCCGCGGUAAUACGGAGGGUGCAAGCGUUAAUCGGAAUUACUGGGCGUAAAGCGUACGAGAGAGAAGUCUGUCAAGUCGGAUGUGAAAUCCCCGGGCUCAACCUGGGAACUGCAUUCGAAACUGGCAGGCUAGAGUUUGUAGAGGGGGGUAGAAUUCCAGGUGUAGCGGUGAAAUGCGUAGAGAUCUGGAGGAAUA
RNAcentral lists this ribosomal RNA (326 nucleotides) under uncultured Enterobacter sp. Its description in RNAcentral is "bacterial SSU rRNA". It matches the Rfam family "Bacterial small subunit ribosomal RNA", at positions 383 to 708 of the family's 1533-position model. Lineage: Bacteria; Pseudomonadati; Pseudomonadota; Gammaproteobacteria; Enterobacterales; Enterobacteriaceae. The record is from RNAcentral.